This 69-nucleotide transfer RNA is filed under the name Astratotermes hilarus. RNAcentral's name for it is "tRNA-Asn". The record is from RNAcentral. Lineage: Eukaryota; Metazoa; Arthropoda; Insecta; Blattodea; Termitidae.
UUAACUGAAACCAAAACUAGAGGUAUAUUAUUGUUAAUAAUAAAACUGAAUAUAAUUAUUCCAGUUAAG